AGUAACAGAUAGUCAACGAAAACUUUCUUUUGAUUAUAGGACUUAUGAUCUCCCAGCUGGUGCAGUGGUAAAUAAUCUGCCUGCCAGUGCAGGAGACACAGGAGAGUCAGGUUUGAUCCCUAGGUCAGGAAGAUGCUCUGGAGGAGGAAAUGGCAACUCACUCCAGUAUUCUUGCCUGGGAAAUUCUGGGACAGAGGAGCCUGGUGGUCUGCAAUCCAUGGGGUCACAGUCAGACAUGACGGAGCACACAUGCGCAAGGACAGAGAAAGUGUUAAAAAUGUUAAAUGAGGUCUUCCCACCUGUUAUUACAGAUAAACUUCAGAGAGCCACCAUCAAAUUGAGAGAAAAAGACAGGCAGUGAAGAAAACAAAGGGCUACUGGAGAUUUGAGAACUAGGUAUUUAAAAGCAUGGGUGUGGUUACUGGCAUGUGGAGCUGAUGAGACAAAUAGAGAAGAAGCCUCUUAAGUAUUUGAGAGAAGUGUACUGCCAAAGAAACCACAAACCUGGACUGAAGGCGCCUUUGACUGGAGAAGCUGAAAAUGGCCUUUGUGCUCAGAAGCUUAAGUGAAUAAGGAACCUGAGGAGGCUGCUCUUCAGCCCCGAGACUUAUUUCCAGAUACAAUCAAAGAAGGCAAUGGGGAGAAAAAGAACUGCCAUAGGGUGGCACAUACAGAUGGAUCUGAGAACGCUGUCUGGGCUUGGUGCCAAGCGCUGGUAUUUCACAGCAGCGACCGCCUCACAGAAGGGCUGUGGGAAGCAGGAGGGAGACUCUCUUAGGGUGCCACUACUAUGGAGACACAGCUGGGCUGAACAAGAUUUGCUUCAAACGACAACAAGAGAGACAGAAAGUAUCUGGUUCAACCGCUGCCCAAGCAGGCAGGCACCAGAAGAGCUAGCAGCCAAUCCGGCCAUGCUCGAAGCCAGCUCUGCAGCUCAGCCAAUCAGUGACAUCACUGGUGAGAAACUCAUUUACAUCAUGCAGUAAUGAACUUUGUUUAACAUAGCCUCCCCUCUUUCCUGUAACCCCCCCUUCCCUGUAUUAGGUCCUUCCAUUAAUUAUUCUGCUGGCAUAAUUUAAACCGCUAUGCAAAAAUGUGGCUAUAUUCUCUCUGAUAGCGUCUACCUUCUUUUUCUCCCUCCAUGGGUGUCUGCUGUCACUGAAAGUGAUUCUGGGUGCAAUUCUGUUUUGUUUUGACCUUGCCAAAUUACCUUCUUCUAAGAAAAAAAAUCUUAGAAAAAAUUAAACAUUUAUUUUAUCUGACCCCACUGCCCCCUUAGGAACAGCAUGCUUUCGGCAAGUUGGGAUUCAGGAUUGUGUAAGGUAAUGGAGAAUAAGUGGGUACAUUGCCUUGGAAGUUGCAAUUUUCCCAAGAAAUCUGCAUCUUAGAGCUUCCUUUAACGUGUCCAGAUUUUAUGCUGCAGUGGCCAUUUUUGCAUACAGUGCUUUAUCCAAAAAUCGCUUAUGUGCAUCUGUUACAGGGAGGAAAGUUCACUCUUGUUAUAUUUUAUUCUUUACUGCUCUCAGCCAAUGUGUCAUUUUAUUAAUGAAUAGAACUGAGGUCAUUUCUGGACAAAUCUCUCUCUUCCCAUCUUAGCACAAUGCACCUGAUUUGCAUCCAUUUACCAGAAAAACAGAAUGCAAGGACCAAUUGAAAAGAAGUUAAGGGACGAGCUCACAUAUUAUUUCAGAAUAUAUCACAGCCAUUUGUUUUUCAGAAUGUGUAAUAUUUAACAUCUGCCUUAGUGUUUCUAUAAAAAUGCCUGAUCUCCAUUCCCAAUGUAAUACCUUUAGCAAAUUUAUUGUUUUGUUAUAUAACCAAAAUAGAGCAAGAUAAAUAAUAUUUAGGAAUGAGUACAUUUAAUCAGCAGAAAACCUUUGGAAACACAAUUUUGUCUUGUACAUUUAUAUUUAAUUUGUCAGAGAUAAAUUCAUUUGUUAUAUAGAUAACUUAAAAAGCCCAGAACAUGUGGCAUGUGAAGAUUUU
RNAcentral lists this long non-coding RNA (1986 nucleotides) under Bos indicus x Bos taurus (hybrid cattle). RNAcentral's name for it is "lncRNA (ENSBIXG00000026979.1)". Lineage: Eukaryota; Metazoa; Chordata; Mammalia; Artiodactyla; Bovidae. The record is from RNAcentral.